RNAcentral lists this ribosomal RNA (116 nucleotides) under Rostroraja alba (bottlenosed skate). RNAcentral describes it as "partial 12S ribosomal RNA". Lineage: Eukaryota; Metazoa; Chordata; Chondrichthyes; Rajiformes; Rajidae. The record is from RNAcentral.
CUAUAUACCGCCGUCGUCAGCUCACCCCAUGAGGGCACAGAAGUAAGCAUAACUGACUUCCUCCAAAACGUCAGGUCGAGGUGUAGCGAAUGAAGUGGAAAGAAAUGGGCUACAUU